This 253-nucleotide ribosomal RNA is filed under the name uncultured bacterium. RNAcentral describes it as "partial 16S ribosomal RNA". It matches the Rfam family "Bacterial small subunit ribosomal RNA", at positions 524 to 776 of the family's 1533-position model. The record is from RNAcentral.
UACGUGGGGUGCAAGCGUUGUUCGGAAUUACUAGGCGUAAAGCGCGUGUAGGCGGCGCACUAAGUUCGAUGUGAAAGCCCUGGGCUCAACCCAGGAACUGCAUUGAAAACUGGUGUGCUUGAGUCCGGGAGAGGGUCGCGGAAUUCCUGGUGUAGAGGUGAAAUUCGUAGAUAUCAGGAGGAACACCGGUGGCGAAGGCGGCGACCUGGACCGGUACUGACGCUGAGGUGCGAAAGCGUGGGGAGCAAACAGG